AUAUGGAGGUUCCCAGGCUAGGGGUCUAAUCAGAGCUGUUGCUGCCUGCCUACACCUGAGCUACAGCAACGCCAUAUCCGAGCCACAUCUGUGACCUACACCACAGCUCACAGCAACACCUCUUAACCCACUGAGCGAGGCCAGGGAUGGAACCCACAACCUCAUGGUUCCUAGUCAGACUCAUUUCUGUUGCGCCAAGACAGGAACUCCCCGAAAUCUCUUUAUGUACAUUAAAUCUUCCUUCUUCAGAAGUACGUGAUGUUGAGCUGAUCUGUCAAAGUAUUUCUUUUAUCACAUUCUCACUAUUUUUCAUACAAGACCUCAUUGUUGAGCUUCUUUUUAUUGAUGCAAAGAAAUCUUAUAUGCCAUUUCCAUUCCAUUAACUGUUCAAAAGAGAUAAUCCACAUUCUAAAAGGGCUGAACUGUAAACCACAGCCAGUUCUGAGUUGCUGAUCUUUUGUUGAGCUGUCUUUUGACCCUCUUUGACAUUUCAGCCAUCUUUCUUUUGAGAGCUUCCACUAUUUGCCUAAAUGAUACUGGGCUAGUUGUAACUUGUUUGAAUGGAGAAAUAGCUGCUGUGUUUCAUAUUAUUUGCUAUAAAAAGAGGUAAUUUUAAAUAGAAUUUCAGUGGCUAAUUCAAGUAUUAAGAAUGUGAAAUAUCUGUGCUUAUUACCAAACUUGUUCUUGAUCAUUGCUUUAUAGAUAUUAAAAAUAUGGAAACUGUUGUUUAAUAUUUAAUGUUUCAGCUUUGAAAUAAGAGAAUCGUAGGUUUAUAAUUUAAUACCUGUAAAUUAUAUAUGGCUAAGUGUGGGUAGUUUCUUUGUCUAUCAAUUCAUACCUACAUCAUAGAAUGGAUAUAAGAAGAAAAUUAGUUAAGAUCCAUAAAGUUGAAAACCUGACACAGAGCAGGACUACCAGUGACAUUGCAUUUAUUAUUAACAACUAAAAAAUCUAGAUCAUGGAACCCUGGGAACCCUAAUACUGUCCUUCAGAAGUGCAGUGUGAAUAGCAUUUUAAUGGUUGCAAGUAUUAUUCUUUGUCACUGUCCUUCCUAUUUGACCAGUUUUUAUGAUGGUAUUGAUUUAUCCUGGGUUGAAAAGUAUGCCUAACAUGAGGGUCUGGGCCACCCAGGCUGUGACUUUGUAAUUGUCUUUGUGCAAACAGAGACUCCUUGGUUUCUGCUACAAUCCUCUCCAUAUGUAUUUCUGCUCAUAUUUCUGAUGUAAGACUACUUGGAUACAUCUGUAGUCAACAUUUUGUAUUGUUCAAAGUAAAUUUCUAAUUAUACCAUCUUAAACUGCCAUAAAAAUAUAAUAUGCUUGAUCAUCCAAGUAUUAUUUUUUCUUCUUAAAAACAGACCUAACCCUUAAAUUGCAUAAUAUUAUUGAUCUCAGUGCAAAUAUUCUACUGACUUUGACUACCACCAUGAAAUAGCUGAAUUCACAUGCACAUUGCUUUUUUUUUUAACAAAAAGUAAAUUACAGGUUAAAUGAGUCCAUUCCUAAGUAAAUAUAUUUUAUAGUUUUAAAUCUCAAAUCACCUACCAAAUAUUAGUUUAGCAAUUGCAUAUAUAUUCAAGAUAUAUUAAAGAAUUAGUUCUUUCUUUGUAUUGCUGCCAAAAUUUCAGUUUGUAGUUCAUGACAUCACUAACACCUAAACUGUGUGGAACAUAUGGAGUCAGGAUGUGGUUAGAAAGAACAGAAGCAAAAUAAACCAAUUAUAAAGCUAGUCAUGAGCUCCCUUUACAUUUGAAAAUUAAAUCCUUUACUAGCAGACUUCUGAAAUCACUGAGUGACCUGAAGUAGAGCUGAAGCUUUCAAGGGAGGAAAUGAAUAAGAAGACAAGCAAAAAGGAAACAUUAAAGGAAAAGAAUGUGAGGAUUUCCAGGGAAGCAAUGGACACAGUAAAAACUGAGAACAAAAUGUGCUUUUAAAAGGCAUCUUGAGAUAAGAGUUGUCUAUAAAUGAAAAUGAGUUUUCAAAAGGUUGAAGAGAUUAAAUAUCUGAUUUAUUUCCUCACAGUUCAAAUGCAUCUGGUGCUGCAAAGACAAAGCUUAUAAUUGAAAGUAAGAAAUUUUAGAUCUAAAAUGAAAUUUACCAACUAACUUGUUUAGCCCUUUUUGACAAAUAAGAACUUUAAUUAUUAAAAAUGGUAGCUGUGGAAGCUGUUGUCAGUUCUCCACAAUUCUCUCUGUGACUUCCUUUCUCCUCACUUCUAAUCCUAUCCCCCAUUUAUGGCAAUACCACAUUCCUCUGGAUAAUAACACUAGCCUAAAAGUAACCCAUAAAGGAUUAAUCAGACAUAUCUUGGGUUUUCACUUUGGACAAUGAAAAAAAGAAGUUCUUUCCUUCUGGGUUGCAAUCUUAAAGCUGUCAGCAACCCUAAGUCCCCAGUCAUGGGAAGUAACCCACCAGCAAGUAAAGUGAUAAGGCUAACACACUGACUUUUUGUUUUUUGUGGGGAGGGAGUUUAGCCUGAGUUCUGCUGUGCUUGAAAUCAGAGUCAACCCUGGACUUGCAAGGGUAAAAACCCAUUAUUUCACUUUUGAUUUAUGCAAUUUUGGAUUGAGUUUUUAUUACUCUCAACAAAAUGUCUUGUCUAAAUGUGUAUCUAUUUGGAAGUAAAUUCUGGACAGCAUUUUUAUAGCUAUAUUUUCUUUGGCACCUUUCUUUGGGCUUACUUUAUAAUCAUAUUGAUCUAUUCUGAGAUGACUCUGUGCCUGUAUAAGAGUCCAGUUAGUUUGAGAACUUAGGUUUCCUAAGGUCAUUAUCCUUUCAUUAUAGAGCAGACAGUCUUUUUCCUUCCUGUUGUAAGGGAGGAAAUCUUUUUCUUCUGUCCUUCUAGUCAUCUGGCUGGCCUAUGAAUCAUACUGAUUUCAAUAAAAAAUUAAUCAGUCAACCUAAGGAAGAAACAAAAAACUUUAUUUGUACCAAACUGUGGAUUAUAAGCCAGGAACAGGCUCUCAGAAAGCUCCAAGGAUUGUUCCACCUGUUAGAGGUCAAAGCACAGUUAUAUAAGUUUUGGGGACAGAGGGCUGUAUAUUUAGUGAUAUAUCAUUGACAGUCUACACAAUUCAGAUCUACCCCUAUAAAGAGUAUUGGUCAUAGGUCACCAUGGUUCCUCAUAAGAUUAAGAAUGAUGCUUAUCUCCUAAGGAGUUGUAACACUUCAUGAAAUAAAGAAGAAAUGCUAUCUCCUAAGGAGAUCUGGUUAAUGCAGAUGCACAAUACACACCAAAGGUGGGGGUAGGAGGGAAGGCCUAAACCAGCCAAAAAAAAAAAAAAGUUAUAUUUAAAUUUUCCUUGUUUUGACAUAAAAUACGAAUUUUAUUUAUCAUUGAAAAAAGACAGAUAAACAAGGGGUGUUAAUUAUAUACAUACACAGGAAACUUUCAGGAAGAAACAAGAUACAAGGAGAUGAUUAGAUGAUUAGGUUUAUAUACCAUCUUAGACUAAACAAAAUAAAAAGGGGUUUUGGCAGGCAAGUUAUUGAAACCAAGCAGGACACUGUGGGGUCCUCCCAGGUACAAAUCCUUUCCAUGUUCCUUGUUUCUAGUGUGUAGGAAAGAGGUUUCAGCCUCCUUGAGCUUCCCUAGGUUCCAAAGGGCAGAUUCAAACAUUUGCUAAUCAGAAAAGUGAGAGAAUCUAGAAACAAAGGAGCAAUCAAGAAACAAUAGUAGUGCAGAGAUAAAGCAGAGCCUGGGUUCCACCUCAAGGAAUAUACAUAGCAAUAUCUUUGCGUACUUUUGCAGGAACUAAGGCCCCUACCCAGGUGUAGGAUGGUAACUUCAGGCUGAGCACAAGGGUAUUAGAACACCAAAUUAUUACCUCACUGCUAACCAAUUAGAAAAAAGUCUGUACACAUUGGAAGAUAAGGAAUACUCUGACGCUCCCCUCCUGAAAUGAGUAACUGCAAAUAACUUCCCCUUUUUCCUUUUAAAAAUUAUUCAUGGUCAGGAGUACUCACUGUGGCACAACAGCAUUAGCAGUGUCUCUGCAGAGCCAGGACACAGGUUU
This 4015-nucleotide long non-coding RNA is filed under the name Sus scrofa (pig). Its description in RNAcentral is "lncRNA (ENSSSCG00000054539.1)". The record is from RNAcentral. Lineage: Eukaryota; Metazoa; Chordata; Mammalia; Artiodactyla; Suidae.